RNAcentral lists this ribosomal RNA (120 nucleotides) under Daphnia magna. Lineage: Eukaryota; Metazoa; Arthropoda; Branchiopoda; Diplostraca; Daphniidae. The record is from RNAcentral.
GUCAACGGCCAUACCACGUAGAAAAAAACCCGGUCUCGUCAGCUCCGGCCGUUAAGCUGCGUCGGGUCCCGUUAAGUACUUAGGAGGGUGACCACUUGGGAAUACGGGAUGCUGUUGGCA